This 883-nucleotide ribosomal RNA is filed under the name Lactiplantibacillus plantarum. RNAcentral describes it as "bacterial SSU rRNA". It matches the Rfam family "Bacterial small subunit ribosomal RNA", at positions 56 to 902 of the family's 1533-position model. Lineage: Bacteria; Bacillati; Bacillota; Bacilli; Lactobacillales; Lactobacillaceae. The record is from RNAcentral.
UGCAAGUCGAACGAACUCUGGUAUUGAUUGGUGCUUGCAUCAUGAUUUACAUUUGAGUGAGUGGCGAACUGGUGAGUAACACGUGGGAAACCUGCCCAGAAGCGGGGGAUAACACCUGGAAACAGAUGCUAAUACCGCAUAACAACUUGGACCGCAUGGUCCGAGUUUGAAAGAUGGCUUCGGCUAUCACUUUUGGAUGGUCCCGCGGCGUAUUAGCUAGAUGGUGAGGUAACGGCUCACCAUGGCAAUGAUACGUAGCCGACCUGAGAGGGUAAUCGGCCACAUUGGGACUGAGACACGGCCCAAACUCCUACGGGAGGCAGCAGUAGGGAAUCUUCCACAAUGGACGAAAGUCUGAUGGAGCAACGCCGCGUGAGUGAAGAAGGGUUUCGGCUCGUAAAACUCUGUUGUUAAAGAAGAACAUAUCUGAGAGUAACUGUUCAGGUAUUGACGGUAUUUAACCAGAAAGCCACGGCUAACUACGUGCCAGCAGCCGCGGUAAUACGUAGGUGGCAAGCGUUGUCCGGAUUUAUUGGGCGUAAAGCGAGCGCAGGCGGUUUUUUAAGUCUGAUGUGAAAGCCUUCGGCUCAACCGAAGAAGUGCAUCGGAAACUGGGAAACUUGAGUGCAGAAGAGGACAGUGGAACUCCAUGUGUAGCGGUGAAAUGCGUAGAUAUAUGGAAGAACACCAGUGGCGAAGGCGGCUGUCUGGUCUGUAACUGACGCUGAGGCUCGAAAGUAUGGGUAGCAAACAGGAUUAGAUACCCUGGUAGUCCAUACCGUAAACGAUGAAUGCUAAGUGUUGGAGGGUUUCCGCCCUUCAGUGCUGCAGCUAACGCAUUAAGCAUUCCGCCUGGGGGAGUACGGCCGCAAGGCUGAAACUC